AUACGGAGGGUGCAAGCGUUAUCCGGAUUUAUUGGGUUUAAAGGGUUCGUAGGCGGAUCAAUAAGUCAGUGGUGAAAGCCUGUGGCUCAACCAUAGAACUGCCAUUGAUACUGUUGAUCUUGAGUACACUUGAAGUGGGCGGAAUGCGUCAUGUAGCGGUGAAAUGCACAGAUAUGACGCAGAACACCGAUUGCGAAGGCAGCUCACUAAAUUGUAACUGACGCUGAGGAACGAAAGCGUGGGGAGCGAACAGGAUUAGAAACCCUAGUAGUCC
Molecule: ribosomal RNA, 274 nt
Filed under: uncultured bacterium
Lineage: Bacteria
Description: partial 16S ribosomal RNA
Rfam family: Bacterial small subunit ribosomal RNA
Source: RNAcentral